Numida meleagris (helmeted guineafowl) is the source of this 780-nucleotide long non-coding RNA. The record is from Ensembl. NCBI's taxonomy places the organism in Eukaryota, Metazoa, Chordata, Aves, Galliformes, Numididae.
AGGACACCACGUGGAAGACUGCCCGACCUUGCAGGUUGUGCUGUGACCAGGAAAUGACUACUGUGUGCACAGGUGUGCCCUGGAACAGUGAGCUGCAGCACAACUCAGAACUCUUCCUGGGGGUCAGGAUCCUGCCCAGCACCAGAGUAUGAAGGCAGUGUGCAAGGAAAGGGCCCACAGAGACUGCUGAAGUGUGUGAAGAGGAAAAAUAACACAAUGAGGAAAAAAUACGAAAAAGCAACUAGUGCCAUGAAUAAUCCUGAAAUAUGAAUAAAUAUAUGUAUUUGGACAAAGUGAGAACUGCUUAAUAUAAAACCCUCAACAGGAAAGCAGAGCUUAAAGCAGACUUAAGGGCAGCAAUAGAUGAUGAGUAGUUUUACACAGGAGUGAUCUGCAUUCGUGACGGGUUGGAUGAUGUGGAGCAGAGCAAGCCAGGACAGCUCAUGUGCUGUGGAAAACUGAACUGGGUUAUGUGGAAUGGCACUGGAUGGUACUGAUGCUGAACCCCUUGGCAUCCCCAAGGUCACCGAGGUGGGCAGGUCCCCCCGUGGGCUCUGCGCUCUCAGCUCCGCAGCCCAGCGCACCAAAAGCACUUGGCUCCCACCGCGGUGAGAGGCGUUCGCUAAUUAAACCUUCCCUCGUCUGUGGGAGGGAGGUAAUGGAUCAAAGCUCUCCCGGCUGCCAUGGCUGAAGACCUGGUUUAACCUUUACACUCUUGAAGCCAUUUCAUGGGGAUUAAAAAGGAAUUGGAAUAAAAGGGAGCUCUUAAUUUCUUGGCCA